RNAcentral lists this transfer RNA (82 nucleotides) under Pelobates cultripes (western spadefoot toad). RNAcentral describes it as "tRNA.Leu". It matches the Rfam family "tRNA". Rfam says of the family: Transfer RNA (tRNA) molecules are approximately 80 nucleotides in length. Their secondary structure includes four short double-helical elements and three loops (D, anti-codon, and T loops). Lineage: Eukaryota; Metazoa; Chordata; Amphibia; Anura; Pelobatidae. The record is from RNAcentral. RNAcentral also lists the same sequence under 1 other name.
GGUAGCGUGGCCGAGAGGUCUAAGGCGCUGGAUUUAGGCUCCAGUCUCUUUGGAGGCGUGGGUUCAAAUCCCACCGCUGCCA